Molecule: non-coding RNA, 23 nt
Filed under: Gallus gallus (chicken)
Lineage: Eukaryota; Metazoa; Chordata; Aves; Galliformes; Phasianidae
Also listed under: 1 other name
Source: RNAcentral
CAGCUCCCUCGCUGCGAUCUAUU